RNAcentral lists this non-coding RNA (413 nucleotides) under Myotis brandtii (Brandt's bat). RNAcentral describes it as "Eukaryotic small subunit ribosomal RNA". It matches the Rfam family "Eukaryotic small subunit ribosomal RNA", at positions 684 to 1051 of the family's 1831-position model. Lineage: Eukaryota; Metazoa; Chordata; Mammalia; Chiroptera; Vespertilionidae. The record is from Rfam by way of RNAcentral.
AAGGAGUCCACUUUAAAUCCUUUAAGGCAGCGGUUCUCAACCUGUGGGUCGCAACCCCUUUGGGGGUCGAACGACCAUUUCACAGGGGUCGCCUAAGACCAUCGGAAAACACAUAUAUAAUGACAUAUUGUUUUGUGGUUAAUCACUAUGCUUUAAUUAUGUUCAAUUUGUAACAAUGAAAUUGGGGGUCACCACAACAUGAGGAACUGUAUUAAAGGGUCACGGCAUUAGGAAGGUUGAGAACCACUGCUUUAAGGAUAUUCUAUGGCUAGAGGUGAAAUUCUCAGACCUGCGCAAGAGGGACCAGUGAAAGCAUUUACCAAGAAUGUUUUCAUUAAUCAAGAACUAAAGUCGGAGGUUCCAAGAUAAUCAGAUACAGUCAUAGUUCAGACCAUAAAGGAUGCCCACUGGCU